GGAGCCGCCCGGGCCGAGGCCAGGUGCCCUUCCGGUCAGUCCUCCAGGAGCUGGUUGACUUCUCAGCAUCCUGAUUCUUUGGAAAGACAGUUUAAAAAGUUGUUUAGUUUCCUAGGACAUUCUCGCUGCGACUGUUGAAAGUCGGACAGCACCCGCCUUGUGCUCACCCCGCCGGGAUACACGGGGACGGUUCCUUUCCAAGGAGGCCCGGGGCCGCCUCUGCGCCGGGACAGCCUGGGAAGCCGCGCAGGCCUGGCCGACUUCCCCUUCCCAGCCCCGCUGCGCCCUGCGGGGCCCUGUCGGCGGUGGGGGCUGCGGACCCGGGAGCGCGCGGCCGCGCUGCACGUGCAGGGACCGGUAGGCGCCGGGGUCAGCGCCAGCGUUUGAUGUGCGGCGGGGAGCGGGCCGAGCCCCGGGAGGCCGCUUCGCACCUCCCAGUGUGUCCGGGUUGAGCGCGAGGUCAGGAGGGGACGCAGAGUUCACGGCGAAGACGGAUCGCGGGGGCUCGUCCCGCCCGGGUUGCGCGCAGCGGGGGCCGCGUGAUGGAUGGGCCGGGCCGGGCACCCGGGAACCCGCGAGCGCGGGGCUGGGCUCUGGGCUGCGUCCGGGGGCCCCGACUUGGUUAUUGAUCGGCCCAAGCGCAGGAGAACUGACUCUAUAAUGCAUCGCCUGACCAGGAAAAGUGUUUGCUUUUGUGGGAGCAAAAGACAACUUUCUGCCCCGCCAGAGCGUUGCUAAGUGAGCGGUAAUGACCACGCUAGAAAUUUCAUAGGGAGAGGCUAAUGGCAGGCUGACUCUAAAAGUGCUUUUAAGUGCAACUUCUGUCUAAUCCCUUGAGGGGGAAGAAAACAUCGGCGACUAAGAAAGUUCAAGUUGUACAGGACCCGGGUUUUUGGGGUCGGGGUCACUUCUGCUCUGCGUGACUUUGAAGAGGAAGACCUGCGGUUUUUUCCAGUGGAUUUUCACACGUGUUUUAAAGAGAACUCCCGGCUCCUGAAAUGAAAGGCCCGCCUGUAGGGUUUUGCUGCCUCCCCUCUGCCCACGCCCCACCCCCACAGCCUGGAUCAAAGCGAUCAGACAAAUUAUUCAGAAGUAACACAGCCCUGAAAUGUUCCUAAACGUGACUAUUUGAGGCGAUGAAUCAAGCGUGUUCCCUCCGCCCCCAACCCACCCCCAGACCGAAAAUGUGACUCUGGAAACGGACUUGCAGAGCUGGCUUCGGUUUAUAUGCGGUUCUGACCCCUGUUGACUUUAGGACAAGCCUUCCUGUUUCCAGUACUGCAGCAUCGCCAGACAGCCUCGCCAUGCAAUCGGCUUUCCAGAUACGAUUUCACUCCUCACCAAAGACACUUCUUUAGGGCGAUUUUAGGAUUCUAUCAACGCUAGUAAAGGAACUACUUAAACACGUUGAUUUGUAUCGCCUUCCCUGACUAUGAAACAUUGAAGAGUGGAAUACUACUCAUCAAUAAAAAAAAUAUAAACUCCUGAUACACCUCAUGGAUGGAUGCAUAGAUGGAUGGAUGGAUCUGAAAAACAUCGUGCUGAAUAAAAGAAGCCAGACAUGAAAGAGCUGCCACUACCAGGAGCACGCUGGCCUGCCGGCGGGAGGAACAGAUGCCAGAGGAGACCUGACUGUGUCCUCAAGGCCAUGCCCCAUCAGCCAUCCCAGCAGAGCCCACAGCCACCCACAGAGGAAUGAGGAUCCCCAUCCAGGAUCACCGGAACUGCACAACUGACUCACAAACGUGUGAAGAGUAAUGGGUAACGUGUUGAACUGUGAGCCUUUGAGCCUGGGGAGGUUUGUGAUGCAGCAGUAGCUCCCAGACCCUUGAGGCUCUUCGGCACGAAGGUGCUGAGCCAUGCACCUAUGCAAAGCCAAACUCUGCACUAGGCCUACUGGGGUGUGCAGAGAGAGAGGGCUGAACAAACUGCGGUUCCACCCAGAAGACCCAGAAGAACAUUUACGGAGGAGUCAGUGCAAGAGGCGAGAGAGCAUGCGUGAAGAGGGUGGACUCUGGAGGCUACUGCAGAGCUCUCCCCCAGGCUAUGAGGGGGCAUGAUGGUCCCAAUAGCCUGAGUCUGUGUUCAUUUCAACUGGCUACCUUGUGACGAGGAAGAUGGCCCAGGUUCCCAGUGGGAAAUCUAUGGUUAUCAUUAAGAACGCAGGGCCUGAGAUGAAACCUGGCAGGUGAAAGGCACCUGGUUUUAUGCAACCUGGUUUUGCAGAAGCCUGUGGGAGGGGGCCCAGGGGGGAAGGGAGCAGAGGGCAGUGUUGGCUCUGGUUCCCCCACCAGGCAGGUGGGCUAGCACCUGGGUAAGGGGCUUUGCAUCUGGAGCUGGUCAUGCCUCAGUCCAGAUCCUGCCUUUAUCAGUUGAUGGGCUGUUACCUGCCAGUGGUUAUGGUGAGGACUAAAUUACGGAAAGUCAUCAAGGAUCUUCAUUCAUUGCCCACCACAGAGCAGGCACUCAAUGGAGAACACUCACCACCAUCUAUGUUGUUAAUGUUGCAUCUGCAGCCCUUGGUUUCCUGGAAAGACUCUACAGUACAGGGGCAGGUUAGGGGCCACAACCAGGAAACAAGACACAUCUGAGAGAAUGCAUGGGAGCUUAUGGAAGGAUGUACAAGGCUGGGUGUGGGAAUCCCGGCACUUCGGGAGGCUAAGGUGGAAGGAUCACUUGCAUCCAGGAUUCAAGCCUAGCCUGGCCACGUAGUGAGACCCCAGCUCUACAAAAAAUCAAAAAUCAACUGGGCAUGGUGGCAUGUGCCUCUAAUCCAAGCUACUCAGGAAGCAGAGAUGGGAGGAUCGCUUGAGCCCAGGAGGUUGAGGCUGCAGUGAGCUGAGAUCAUACCACUGCACUCAUUCUGGGCAACAGAGUGAAACCCUGUCUCAAAAAUAUAAAUAAAUAAAUAAAUAAAUAAAUAAAUAAAGAAAGAAAGAAAGAAAGAAAGAAUUUACAAGAGGGGAGUUUUAGUGGUUGAAAAAUCAUUCACUCAUUCCAGGAGCAAGAGCCUUGUGGGUUUUCUUCCUGUUCUUGCCUGGGUUAUCUCUACUGAACCAAAGAAUCCUUGUUAGGAAUGCUCUGGUGGUGUCAAUCAAUGCGUUUAUAAAUCAUUUGCUUUUACCAUGGAAAAAGAUAUCACAAAACAACACAGCUGUAGUGCAGGUGCAGAUGACCAUGGAACGGCAGCCUGGCGUUUUCAGUAGAGCACUGGGCAGCAGAGUCCCUGGGCCUCGGAACCCCGGCCUGUUACCACCCAACACCAUCCCUGGGCAAAAUGCGAAACUCCCAUCAGAUCCAUGAAUGGAAAAUGGGCGUAAUUAUAAUUGCACCCCACUCUCUACCUCUCAGCUAAGGUGAGAAAUGAAUAUGAGGAUGCUCAGUGAAAAUGCUUUGAAGUCUGUGAAAUGCGAAGCAAAUGUGAAGCGAGAGGAAUAAUAAGGUUCUAAGGACCCACACUUGGGCGUUUGCUCUGAGCUGGCCCCUGUCCUCCACACUGAACCUACAGCCUCUCCUCUCACCUAAUCUGCACAAAAAUCUUACGAAGCAGACACACUUACCAUGCUGGCCUUUCCGUGAAAUUUCAGGUCUUAGUGUCGCCCAUUACUGGUGGCAUUUCAUGCCACAAGUUGGGCCAUCUGCACCUCCAAGCACAGGGUCACAGAAGACUUUAUCCCGUCCCUUGGGCUGACUGAAUGGUUGGUUUGUGUCAACCCCUGUUGUCCCUUUGAGCAACUCGGGGGCAAUGGUUAUGGGUAGGGCUUAAAAAACCGUCUGGCUGCAAACCCAGUGCUGAUACGAACAAGGCCUAGUCAGGCACUAAGUGUUUUGUGUUCCCCAAAGAGAUCUUAAUGAAAUCCCAGCAUGCCACUCACUCCUACACUUAAAAUACCUUUUAAGUGUAGGAAAGAAAGUGCUUUCAACCCCACCCCAGCCAUUUGGAUUCGGAGACUCCAUUUAAGAUGCACAGCUUUCCUCCAGCACAGGGGCUGGGUAUCCAAACGCAGAGCCUCCCCCAGACUCUCUCUAGGCUUAGCCUGGCUUGGUGGGCUCAGGAGGGAUUCAAGAUUAUUUCAUCCUUUAUGUCCAUUCGAUGACAGUUUAUCAUCAUUGCCACCUCAUACUCUAUUGUAGCCAAACAUCAUAACCAGCACCAUGUGAACUACGUCACUGACGCCACAUUCUUUUUCUCGGCUGUCACUAGGCUCAGGUCAGGACAGCCCUCCCGGCUGACUUCCGCGAUACUUUCUGUAUCUCCUUUUCAGUCUGCCCUAAAAUGACAGCUGGACUUCCGACAGUGGUUUCUUAUGUGGGACACAUGGCUCUUAUACUCUGGGUGGCACGGAUUCCUUUAUUGCCAGUGGCUUAAUUUUCCCAGAUCUAUUUCCAUGCAGACAGUGUGAGGUUGGACUUCAUGCCUCAUGCUCCUGAUUGGGGCUCGGAAGUCUAACCCAGCUUCCUGCAGUGCCGCCCCCAGCUUAUUCAAUGCCCAACCUGCAGGUCCUAAGUUGAACCCGCACACUGCACGCUCACCUGGUCUGUGCUGCCAGCUGCAUUGGAAAUGGAAGCAUUAAACACCGUUCUCCACUGUCAGCCACCUGCUAGCUAAUGAGUGACAUCAUUUAACACUGUUUUGAAAAGAGAGAUUUAAAGUUGUUUUGAAAACUGAAGGAAAAAUACAAAUGUUUGAGUGUUAAACAUUUUGCCCAAAUACUAAAAUGUGAAUGUCUUUUUAUUGUGACAGUUCACAGGAAAGCGGGCUAUAGCAUGCCUGUGCUUGUCAAUGAAAAUCUUAGCACUGAGUUUGGUAAACAUUCUGGCAGUCGGGAAGCCACUUAAAAAUAAAGUUUAAAGAAAAGAAAGAGAAGUGUUCACUUUCCUUCUAAUUUUCCCAGAUACGCUCAAUAUUCUGCUUUAUUUUUUAGUAUUUUAACUAAAAUAAGAAAACUCGGAUUCUACCUCUAUGUGUCCUAUGAUUGUUGUUGUUUUCUCUGAUUAUAAAAUACAGGUUUGCAGCAGAAAACUUGGCAAAACAGAGAUAUGAAGAAUAAAAUAAAAAUCACCUGUAGUUCUAAGCCAUGAGAAUAAUCAUAUAUAUAUUCCCUAGGUAUUCUGAAGCAUAUGUAUUACAGUCCAAAUAUUUAAAAACAAAAUUUGGGUAAUACUUUAGAUAGAGAGUUGUAUUCUGAUUUUUUCUAUUAAUAUUAUAACUUUGAAACGAGGGACUUCACCAUUGCUUUUAUUUUUCUUUGCUAUGUAAGUACUUAUGUUCUUUAUGAGGAAAAUAAAAACUAUAGAAAAGAAAGAUAAGAAAAUAAAAUCAGUAAUAAUCCCCUCACUUACAAAUGACUGCUGUUAACAUUUUAGUUUUUUGGUUUCUAUCUAUUUAUGUGAAAUUUGAAUGAAAAUAGUAUAAUUUCGCUGUCUCUAUAUUGCUUGGUAACAUAAUGAUUUAACUGUAUAAUAAAUAGUAUAUUACAUGAAUAUUUUGAGUAAUAGUCUGUGUGAUAAUUUUUAUUCGGUGUGUGGUGUUCCACUACAUAAAUGUAUUAUAGUUUAUUUCACAAAUAAACUCUUAUCAGAAACUUAUGUUGUCGUUAAUCUGUGAUUUAUAAUGAAGCUAUAAACAUAACUUUUAGCUAAAUAUUUAUGGAUACCCUUCAUUAUUUAUUUCCUAAAUAGUAGAAGUAGAAUUUUAUGGUCAAAUGAUAAAGACAUGAUUUUCUUACAUUCAGGAGAUAUUCUAUUAUAUGGCUCUACCAUAAUUUAUUUAUUUAUU
Molecule: long non-coding RNA, 5779 nt
Filed under: Homo sapiens (human)
Lineage: Eukaryota; Metazoa; Chordata; Mammalia; Primates; Hominidae
Description: HSALNT0253207
Source: RNAcentral